This 1498-nucleotide ribosomal RNA is filed under the name uncultured bacterium. RNAcentral's name for it is "16S ribosomal RNA". It matches the Rfam family "Bacterial small subunit ribosomal RNA". The record is from RNAcentral.
UAGAGUUUGAUCCUGGCUCAGGAUGAACGCUAGCGACAGGCUUAACACAUGCAAGUCGAGGGGCAGCGGGGAGGUAGCAAUACUUCCGCCGGCGACCGGCGCACGGGUGAGUAACACGUAUGGAACCUGCCCGUAGCAGGGGGAUAAGCGGAAGAAAUUCCGUCUAAUACCGCGUAAUAACUCCGAGAGGCAUCUCAUGGAGUUUAAAGGGUAACACCGGCUACGGAUGGCCAUGCGGCGCAUUAGCUAGUUGGCGGGGUAACGGCCCACCAAGGCGACGAUGCGUAGGGGUUCUGAGAGGAAGGUCCCCCACACUGGUACUGAGACACGGACCAGACUCCUACGGGAGGCAGCAGUGAGGAAUAUUGGUCAAUGGGCGCGAGCCUGAACCAGCCAAGUCGCGUGAGGGAAGACGGUCCUAUGGAUUGUAAACCUCUUUUGUCGGGGAGCAAAAGACGCCACGUGUGGCGUUCCGAGAGUACCCGAAGAAAAAGCAUCGGCUAACUCCGUGCCAGCAGCCGCGGUAAUACGGAGGAUGCGAGCGUUAUCCGGAUUUAUUGGGUUUAAAGGGUGCGCAGGCGGAAGAUCAAGUCAGCGGUAAAAUUGAGAGGCUCAACCUCUUCGAGCCGUUGAAACUGGUUUUCUUGAGUGAGCGAGAAGUAUGCGGAAUGCGUGGUGUAGCGGUGAAAUGCAUAGAUAUCACGCAGAACUCCGAUUGCGAAGGCAGCAUACCGGCGCUCAACUGACGCUCAUGCACGAAAGUGUGGGUAUCGAACAGGAUUAGAUACCCUGGUAGUCCACACAGUAAUCGAUGAAUACUAAUUGUUCGGGGAGAAUGAUCCCUGAGUGAUACAGCGAAAGCGUUAAGUAUUCCACCUGGGGAGUACGCCGGCAACGGUGAAACUCAAAGGAAUUGACGGGGGCCCGCACAAGCGGAGGAACAUGUGGUUUAAUUCGAUGAUACGCGAGGAACCUUACCCGGGCUCAAACGACACAGGAAUACUUUUGAAAGGAGGUAGCUCUACGGAGUCUGUGUCGAGGUGCUGCAUGGUUGUCGUCAGCUCGUGCCGUGAGGUGUCGGCUUAAGUGCCAUAACGAGCGCAACCCCCAUCGCCAGUUACCAGCAAGUCAAGUUGGGGACUCUGGCGAGACUGCCGGCGCAAGCUGUGAGGAAGGCGGGGAUGACGUCAAAUCAGCACGGCCCUUGCGUCCGGGGCGACACACGUGUUACAAUGGCAGGUACAGAGAGAAGCAAUGCGGCGACGCAAAGCGGAACUUGAAAGCCUGUCUCAGUUCGGAUUGGAGUCUGCAACUCGACUCCAUGAAGCUGGAUUCGCUAGUAAUCGCGCAUCAGCCAUGGCGCGGUGAAUACGUUCCCGGGCCUUGUACACACCGCCCGUCAAGCCAUGGAAGCCGGGAGUGCCUGAAGUGUGCAACCGCAAGGAGCGCCCUAAGGUAAAACUGGUGACUGGGGCUAAGUCGUAACAAGGUAACCGUA